AGAUUCCUUUCCCCGACUCCGCAGCAGGGGGCCCAGAUCCUCACCACUGUCAAUCAGACAGUAGUAAUCAACAUCAGAGCCGAGGCUACUCAAUCCACGAUCUCCGGGCUCCUCUUCAGCGGUCCCCAUAAUGUGGUGAGGAGCUCACAAGGAUCGGGAAACUUCACCUUGACAUGGACACCAUCUUCUUUUGAAAAUGGAGAAAGCCAUCCCAUCUGCUUUGUCGUCCAGUCGAGUUUGUCUUCAUCUGUGUAUCAGUCUGGUCUUAGAUGCGUCAUUGUAAAAGUUGGAAAUCGUGAGUACAAUGUCGUCUUCUUCUUUUAGUUUUAAGUCUAUACUGUAUUCAUAUCGCAAAUCCUGUUUCACCUAACAUCUUGCUCUGUUUACAGACUUGGUACCUAAGCUGAAUACCCAAAU
This is a long non-coding RNA of Fundulus heteroclitus (mummichog), 417 nucleotides long. RefSeq lists it as uncharacterized. NCBI's taxonomy places the organism in Eukaryota, Metazoa, Chordata, Actinopteri, Cyprinodontiformes, Fundulidae. The record is from RefSeq and is a predicted model, not a curated record. The transcript has 3 exons.